RNAcentral lists this long non-coding RNA (684 nucleotides) under Homo sapiens (human). RNAcentral's name for it is "non-protein coding HNF1A-AS1:10". Lineage: Eukaryota; Metazoa; Chordata; Mammalia; Primates; Hominidae. The record is from RNAcentral.
ACUCCAGCCUCCUUGCAAGCUUGGGGCGCCUCAUUCUCUCCCGUGCCCCUUCUCCCAGCUGGGUCUGAGCCCCCGCCCCCCUGGCUCCUCCGUUCUGCUUCUCCCAGCUUCUCUGUCCAUCUCCCCCAAUGGCCUCUCUCUACACUCUCUGCCUCAGCUUCCAGGUCUCUGCUGGUCCCUAGGAAGCACUUUGACCUCUGCUUCCCCUUCAAAUGCUGUGGAUCAAGCCUCCCCAACCCCACCAUCCCACCAAAGGGGGCUGCUGACCGAGAGAGCUCACUCAGCCAGCUGCUCCCUCUACCUGGAAACCUCCAUUUGUCAAGCUGCUGCUGUCUUCAAGAUCUACCUGGUCAGAAUCUCCUGCUGUCCUCUUCUGCCACCCACAGCAAUGUGAGCCUUCACUGGCUGGCCUUCCCUACUCACUGGAGCAGAGCUACGGCAUCAGAAUGCCCUGGAGCAGGGGUUAGAAACACAGAUUUCUGAGUCUACACUCGAAGAUUUUUUUUUCUUUCUUUCUUUUUUUUUGUUUUCCAAUUUUUCUAAUUUUAGAGAUGGGGUCUCACCACGUUGCCCAGGCUGGUCUCAAGCUCCUGGACUCAGGUCAUCCUACCACCUAGGCCUUCUAAAGUGUUAGGAUGAGCCCUGAACCUUGUAACAUGAACAUUUAUUAGUUAUAUCUGGAAA